UUGGAGGCGCUGGCGGCCGUUUGAGAUGAAAUAGCGCUCUGUUUCCUUGGUUACCGGUGUUUGUCUCGGCUCUUUUCCGGAAAUCAACAGGCUCCUCUUGGAGCUUGAUGUACACACCUGUGUGUGAUAGACCAGGGUUCUCGGCCUUCCCCAAUCAAUAGAAAUUGGAGACGUUUGUUCAGGUGCAAGCAUUGCAGCACUGCAGGAAAUGGUCCCAGGUCCCAGCCUGUCUCAUGUGUAUACCUGGACUCAGAUAUUCAGGGACCAGGUGUUAUUCAUCUGGGAAUCCUCCAGGAUGCUAGAAAGGUUGGUGGCAUGCAUCUUGCCAUGUUUGGCAGCCAGCCUCCAAGAUGGUCCCCAAUGAUCCUCACCUUCCUGACAAGCACGCCCCUGUGUCGUCCCCUCCCACAUGGAAUAGGAUAUCACAGAAAUGACAGAAUGUGACUUCUAAGGAUAGUUCAUAAAAGACAUUGUGGCUUCUACCUUGUUCUUAAGGAUCACUUGGUCUGGGAAAGCCAGCUGCCGUGUCAGGAGGGCACUCAGACAGUAGUGUGAGGAGGUGAGGAAGUGAGGCCUCCUGCCAACAGGCAGCACAAACUCACCAGCUAUGUGAGUGAACCAUCUUACAAUUAGAUUUUCCAGCCCUACUCAAGCCUUCAGAUGACUACAGCCCAGCCAACACAAUGACUGCAACCUCAUGAGAGACCCCAGCCAGAACAACCUAGCUAAGCUGCUCCCCAAUUCCUGAUUCACAGAAACGUGUAAGAUGGUGUUCUGUUGUUGUCGUUUUAAGCCUUUAAGUUUAGGGGUAACUUUUUAUGCAGCAACAGAUAACCAAUACAGCCUUGAAUAGUUCGUUACUAAUUUAUUUGAUUGAAAGAUACACACAAAUCUUCCCAAAGAUCUAUUAGAUUAUUAAGAACUAUAGGAGAGGAAAUUGUAUAACUUCCUUUAAAAAGAAUAUCUAAAUGAUAGCUAAGCUAUCUGGUAUGUAUCUGCCUUUCGAAUUCAUUCUAGAACUUCAAGUGCCUACUUCCUAUUAUUUUUGGAGUGCCUAAAAAAAGGGAUAAUUGUGGAAUAUAUAAGAACAAAGAUUUGUUAUAUAGUUACGUGUAGCUGGUAUAGUUAAUUUCUAAAUGAUUAAUGUACCUUCAAAUGUUUAUUCCUUAAAAUACAAUAAAUCAAACCAUGAAUAUUCAUCAAUAGGGUCUCAUUUACUAGAGUUUCAAAUAUGUCUUUGAGCAAUAAGCCUUUUUUUUUUUUGGUGGACAAACACCUUUAUUCUGACUGUGUCCCAAAUUCCCUAGGGCAAGAGAAACAGGUUGGUGUGGUGAACAAUGGGUUUUUAAACCACCAAGUGUUUAUUUGCUCAUCUCCACAAACGUGCGCCUGCUAUGGGUGCAAGAAGCACUGGCCUAAGGUCUCUAGUGUGGGAUGACGAGCAACUGGAGAAGGCUAAAUGGAUGCUCAUUAAGAAUGAGACACAGGACUAACAACUCUGGUCCUAGAGUCCCUCCCACAUAUAAAGCCAGCUUCUUCCAGUUGUGAGCAUCUUGGGGAAGGUUACUGCAUCUGCCAAAAGUUCAGGAGAUCCUAUGGGGUUACUCCUUGGGAAUCGAGAACUGCUAUCAUCAUAUCUUCUGCACUUACAAAGAAGUUUUAAUGAGAGAGAGAGAGAGAGAGAGAGAGAGAGAGAAGUAGUUGCUGAAUUCCCUGGGGUUGAAAUCAUGUCAAGUUUCUUGACAAACUCCUCACAAUCGUUUCCAAUGCAAAGAAGAUAGAAAUUUCUUAUAUGUCUCCAGUGCCCCCUGCUAUGUGAGAAUUCAACUCAAUUCUAAAUCUAUGUUUGGUACUUUUC
Non-coding RNA from Delphinapterus leucas (beluga whale), 1858 nucleotides. The record is from RefSeq and is a predicted model, not a curated record. NCBI's taxonomy places the organism in Eukaryota, Metazoa, Chordata, Mammalia, Artiodactyla, Monodontidae.